GAUGAAGAACGCAGCGAAAUGCGAUAAGUAAUGUGAAUUGCAGAAUUCAGUGAAUCAUCGAAUCUUUGAACGCACAUUGCGCCCGCCAGUAUUCUGGCGGGCAUGCCUGUUCGAGCGUCAUUUCAACCAUCAAGCCCCCGGCUUGUGUUGGGGACCUGCGGCUGCCGCAGGCCCUGAAAACCAGUGGCGGGCUCGCUAGUCACUCCGAGCGUAGUAAUACAUCUCGCUCAGGGCGUGCUGCGGGUUCCGGCCGUUAAAAAAGCCUUAUUUACCCAAGGUUGACCUCGGAUCAGGUAGGAAGACCCGCUGAACUUAAGCAUAUCAGUAAGCGGAGGA
Molecule: unclassified non-coding RNA, 336 nt
Filed under: soil metagenome
Description: partial contains 5.8S ribosomal RNA, internal transcribed spacer 2, and large subunit ribosomal RNA
Rfam family: 5.8S ribosomal RNA (bases 1-120)
Source: RNAcentral